CACGUACACUGCGAUGUACUUAUUUAUUAGUAUAGGUAUUACAACCAGUAGGUACCUAUACCCGAACACCAGCCGCACGCAGGGUCCUCGCAAAUUGCCCGUGUCGAUAACAUGGAGAAUCCCCGGUGCAUUGUAGCGGCGUCGUUUGAGGAACUGGGACAAAAGUCCGACGGCACAGGCGCGCGGCGGCGGCGCGGCACCUGCGCGCGAUCAUAAAACCAAACGAGUAGGUAUUAUUAAUCUUAGCAAAGUAUGAAUG
Long non-coding RNA from Pectinophora gossypiella (pink bollworm), 259 nucleotides. RefSeq lists it as uncharacterized. NCBI's taxonomy places the organism in Eukaryota, Metazoa, Arthropoda, Insecta, Lepidoptera, Gelechiidae. The record is from RefSeq and is a predicted model, not a curated record. The transcript has 3 exons.